Molecule: ribosomal RNA, 162 nt
Filed under: Silybum marianum (milk thistle)
Lineage: Eukaryota; Viridiplantae; Streptophyta; Magnoliopsida; Asterales; Asteraceae
Description: 5.8S ribosomal RNA
Rfam family: 5.8S ribosomal RNA
About the family: 5.8S ribosomal RNA (5.8S rRNA) is a component of the large subunit of the eukaryotic ribosome. It is transcribed by RNA polymerase I as part of the 45S precursor that also contains 18S and 28S rRNA. Functionally, it is thought that 5.8S rRNA may be involved in ribosome translocation.
Source: RNAcentral
AAACGACUCUCGGCAACGGAUAUCUCGGCUCACGCAUCGAUGAAGAACGUAGCAAAAUGCGAUACUUGGUGUGAAUUGCAGAAUCCCGUGAACCAUCGAGUUUUUGAACGCAAGUUGGCGCCCGAAGCCAUUCGGCCGAGGGCACGUCUGCCUGGGCGUCAC